GGGGAUGAUCGGUUUCGACUGGGGAUGUCGAAGCAGGGGAAGCGAGCCGAGGAAGCGGCAAUGAUCUCGUUAACCAUAUGUCGCAAAACAUAAUCGCCAACACCAAGCGCGAUGCCUCCGCUUUCUCCCUCGCUGCCUAAUAAGUAGCUAGAGAGAAAGCUCUACGGAGUGUCAGCCCAGGAGCUGUUCCCGGCCUGGAUCCUGGCAUAAUCAAGGGAACUAAACUUCAUGACCCGGUCACGGGGGCUUGAAGGAAACCAAACAGUGACUGAGCCCGUUGGCAACUUGUCCGCGUGAUUGCCAGGGCUGAGAAAAGCACAGCGGACUGCGCUCGGAGAAGCCCUGAUUCCGCACCACAGGACGCGGGUUCGAUUCCCGCCAUCUCCACCA
This 390-nucleotide transfer-messenger RNA is filed under the name Streptomyces fildesensis. Its description in RNAcentral is "Standard tmRNA". It matches the Rfam family "transfer-messenger RNA". From Rfam's summary of the family: Bacterial tmRNA, also known as 10Sa RNA or SsrA, is named for its dual tRNA and mRNA-like properties. Its role is to liberate the mRNA from a stalled ribosome. To accomplish this part of the tmRNA is used as a reading frame that ends in a translation stop signal. RNAcentral also lists the same sequence under 4 other names. Lineage: Bacteria; Bacillati; Actinomycetota; Actinomycetes; Kitasatosporales; Streptomycetaceae. The record is from RNAcentral.